UUCCGGUUGAUCCUGCCGGACCCGACUGCUAUCAGAGUGGGAUUAAGCCAUGCGAGUCAACGUAGCAAUACGUGGCAUACGGCUCAGUAACACGUAGUCAACAUGCCCAGAAGACGUGGAUAACCUCGGGAAACUGAGGAUAAACCGCGAUAGAUCAUAAUAUCUGGAAUGAUUUAUGGUCGAAAUCUAUAUGGCUUCUGGAUUGGACUGCGGCCGAUCAGGCUGUUGGUGAGGUAAUGGCCCACCAAACCUAAAACCGGUACGGGCUCUGAGAGGAGAAGCCCGGAGAUGGGUACUGAGACACGGACCCAGGCCCUAUGGGGCGCAGCAGGCGAGAAAACUUUGCAAUGUGCGAAAGCACGACAAGGUUAAUCCGAGUGGUUCCUGCUAAAGGGACCUUUUGACGGUCCUAAAAACACCGUUGAAUAAGGGGUGGGCAAGUUCUGGUGUCAGCCGCCGCGGUAAAACCAGCACCUCAAGUGGUCAGGAUGAUUAUUGGGCCUAAAGCAUCCGUAGCCGGCUCUGUUAGUUUUCGGUUAAAUCUGUACGCUCAACGUACAGGCUGCCGGGAAUACUGCAGAGCUAGGGAGUGGGAGAGGUAGACGGUACUUGGUAGGAAGGGGUAAAAUCCUUUGAUCUAUUGAUGACCACCUGUGGCGAAGGCGGUCUACCAGAACACGUCCGACGGUGAGGGAUGAAAGCUGGGGGAGCAAACCGGAUUAGAUACCCGGGUAGUCCCAGCCGUAAACCAUGCAAACUCAAUGAUGCACUGGCUUGAAGCCAAUGCAGUGUUGCAGGGAAGCCGUUAAGUUUGCCGCCUGGGAAGUACGUACGCAAGUAUGAAACUUAAAGGAAUUGGCGGGGGAGCACCACAAGGGGUGAAGCCUGCGGUUCAAUUGGAUUCAACGCCGGA
RNAcentral lists this ribosomal RNA (913 nucleotides) under uncultured archaeon. Its description in RNAcentral is "bacterial SSU rRNA". It matches the Rfam family "Archaeal small subunit ribosomal RNA", at positions 1 to 922 of the family's 1478-position model. The record is from RNAcentral.